GAGACCUACGGGAGGCAGCAGUAGGGAAUCUUCCACAAUGGGCGAAAGCCUGAUGGAGCAACGCCGCGUGGGUGAAGAAGGUCUUCGGAUCGUAAAACCCUGUUGUUAGAGAAGAAAGUGCGUGAGAGUAACUGUUCACGUUUCGACGGUAUCUAACCAGAAAGCCACGGCUAACUACGUGCCAGCAGCCGCGGUAAUACGAAGGUGGCAAGCGUUAUCCGGAUUUAUUGGGCGUAAAGGGAACGCAGCCGGUCUUUUAAGUCUGAAGUUAUAGCCUUCGGCUUCACCGGAGUAGUGC
RNAcentral lists this ribosomal RNA (298 nucleotides) under uncultured bacterium. Its description in RNAcentral is "partial 16S ribosomal RNA". It matches the Rfam family "Bacterial small subunit ribosomal RNA", at positions 334 to 624 of the family's 1533-position model. The record is from RNAcentral.